This 371-nucleotide ribosomal RNA is filed under the name uncultured bacterium. Its description in RNAcentral is "bacterial SSU rRNA". It matches the Rfam family "Bacterial small subunit ribosomal RNA", at positions 524 to 898 of the family's 1533-position model. The record is from RNAcentral.
UACGUAGGGGGCGAGCGUUGUCCGGAAUUAUUGGGCGUAAAGGGUUCGCAGGCGGUUUUUUAAGUCAGGUGUGAAAGGCAUAGGCUCAACCUGUGUAAGCACUUGAAACUGAAAGACUUGAGUUAAGGAGAGGAAAGUGGAAUUCCUAGUGUAGCGGUGAAAUGCGUAGAUAUUAGGAGGAAUACCAGUGGCGAAGGCGACUUUCUGGACUUAUACUGACGCUGAGGAACGAAAGCGUGGGGAGCAAACAGGAUUAGAUACCCUGGUAGUCCACGCCGUAAACGAUGAGUGCUAGGUGUUGGGGGUCAAACCUCGGUGCCGCAGCUAACGCAUUAAGCACUCCGCCUGGGGAGUACGUACGCAAGUAUGAA